GUAACAUAUCGGAACGUACCCAUGAGUGGGGGAUAACGCAGCGAAAGUUGCGCUAAUACCGCAUAAGCUCUAUGGAGGAAAGUGGGGGACCGAAGGCUCAUGCUGAUGGAGCGGCCGAUAUCUGAUUAGCUGGUUGGUGAGGUAAAAGCUCACCAAGGCGACGAUCAGUAGCUGGUCUGAGAGGACGACCAG
This 192-nucleotide ribosomal RNA is filed under the name uncultured bacterium. RNAcentral describes it as "partial 16S ribosomal RNA". It matches the Rfam family "Bacterial small subunit ribosomal RNA", at positions 110 to 307 of the family's 1533-position model. The record is from RNAcentral.